GAUGAACGCUGGCGGCGUGCCUAAUACAUGCAAGUCGAGCGAACGGACGAGAAGCUUGCUUCUCUGAUGUUAGCGGCGGACGGGUGAGUAACACGUGGAUAACCUACCUAUAAGACUGGGAUAACUUCGGGAAACCGGAGCUAAUACCGGAUAAUAUUUUGAACCGCAUGGUUCAAAAGUGAAAGACGGUCUUGCUGUCACUUAUAGAUGGAUCCGCGCUGCAUUAGCUAGUUGGUAAGGUAACGGCUUACCAAGGCAACGAUGCAUAGCCGACCUGAGAGGGUGAUCGGCCACACUGGAACUGAGACACGGUCCAGACUCCUACGGGAGGCAGCAGUAGGGAAUCUUCCGCAAUGGGCGAAAGCCUGACGGAGCAACGCCGCGUGAGUGAUGAAGGUCUUCGGAUCGUAAAACUCUGUUAUUAGGGAAGAACAUAUGUGUAAGUAACUGUGCACAUCUUGACGGUACCUAAUCAGAAAGCCACGGCUAACUACGUGCCAGCAGCCGCGGUAAUACGUAGGUGGCAAGCGUUAUCCGGAAUUAUUGGGCGUAGAGCGCGCGUAGGCGGUUUUUUAAGUCUGAUGUGAAAGCCCACGGCUCAACCGUGGAGGGUCAUUGGAAACUGGAAAACUUGAGUGCAGAAGAGGAAAGUGGAAUUCCAUGUGUAGCGGUGAAAUGCGCAGAGAUAUGGAGGAACACCAGUGGCGAAGGCGACUUUCUGGUCUGUAACUGACGCUGAUGUGCGAAAGCGUGGGGAUCAAACAGGAUUAGAUACCCUGGUAGUCCACGCCGUAAACGAUGAGUGCUAAGUGUUAGGGGGUUUCCGCCCCUUAGUGCUGCAGCUAACGCAUUAAGCACUCCGCCUGGGGAGUACGACCGCAAGGUUGAAACUCAAAGGAAUUGACGGGGACCCGCACAAGCGGUGGAGCAUGUGGUUUAAUUCGAAGCAACGCGAAGAACCUUACCAAAUCUUGACAUCCUUUGACAACUCUAGAGAUAGAGCCUUCCCCUUCGGGGGACAAAGUGACAGGUGGUGCAUGGUUGUCGUCGGCUCGUGUCGUGAGAUGUUGGGUUAAGUCCCGCAACGAGCGCAACCCUUAAGCUUAGUUGCCAUCAUUAAGCUGGGCACUCUAAGUUGACUGCCGGUGACAAACCGGAGGAAGGUGGGGAUGACGUCAAAUCAUCAUGCCCCUUAUGAUUUGGGCUACACACGUGCUACAAUGGACAAUACAAAGGGCAGCGAAACCGCGAGGUCAAGCAAAUCCCAUAAAGUUGUUCUCAGUUCGGAUUGUAGUCUGCAACUCGACUACAUGAAGCUGGAAUCGCUAGUAAUCGUAGAUCAGCAUGCUACGGUGAAUACGUUCCCGGGUCU
RNAcentral lists this ribosomal RNA (1372 nucleotides) under uncultured bacterium. Its description in RNAcentral is "bacterial SSU rRNA". It matches the Rfam family "Bacterial small subunit ribosomal RNA", at positions 28 to 1381 of the family's 1533-position model. The record is from RNAcentral.